UUUCUUUUAUUUAUUUAUAUUAUAUUUAUUUAUUUAUUUUUCAUUUUUCUUCUAGUCCAUGAUUAUCGAAAUCAUAAUCCCGUAACCAGGAAGAAAAGCGAAACAAGUGGACCAGCUUCCAACUAGCAAAUAUACUUGGACAAGUGGUCCAAUGAAUCGACUGUCGUUACCUUCCAUGCACGAUGUUUCGUUUGGAUUAGUUAGUGUUUCGAUGCCCUGUCUUGGACCGCCCAUUAGUUCCAGUCCACUCCUCGUGGAUUAUGGUGUGAAAAUCAAAAUAGUCGGGGUAAUCGAGACUUGUUUGACUGAGGACAUGAAAUCUACAAAUGAUCUUGUCCAUUGAUGGUUUAGAUCAGCCGAUCAGGAUUAUUUUUUCAAGGAAUCCUAUGAUGGUGCACUGGACCUAAUGUAGGGUCUAGCCAGGUGAGGUGGAUGCCAACUGGUCCAAAAAGCGACUUCGUACAGGAAAGUUUAAUCCGGUUAGACCAAUAUACAAUUUCUCAAAAUAUUAAGCAGUCAAAGUGCAUAGAAACGGCCGGCUAAGAAGUAAAAUGUUAGCCAGUGGCAGACAGAAAAAUGGAUAGGCUAUGGGUCUUCUCCUGUAAGAUUUAUCAUGCUAAGCCCAACGGCCUUCAUUGAUGACUAUGGUGCUGGGACUAGUGGUCCAAUUAGGGCACUGGGAGCUUACUCAGCGUCAUAGAAGACUGUUUGUUAAAUAUUUUCGACUCGAAACUCCCUCCAUGUGAUAACAAUUCUCGUAAAAAAAAUAAAAAUAAAAAUAAAAAUCCCUCCAUUUUAUAACAGUCACUUAAAGGCAAAUGGACCCCGCCAGGCUGCUUUCGAGUGGAGUACCUGACUUGUGAUAAUUGAUUGCUACUUGGGACAAAUGUGCAUUGGAUCCACCCAUCCAACAGAUGGAUUGUAACAUUUUCGCUGUAGAUCUUAAAUGUCAGUAAGAGUUGGGGCGGGCCACACACAGGGAACGGUGUAAAGUCAGUGGCCUACAUAGGUCUUGGAAUGUCCUGUUUUCAGGGAUUCAAUUCA
Molecule: long non-coding RNA, 1044 nt
Organism: Magnolia sinica
Lineage: Eukaryota; Viridiplantae; Streptophyta; Magnoliopsida; Magnoliales; Magnoliaceae
Exons: 2
Source: RefSeq, a predicted model, not a curated record